This 495-nucleotide ribosomal RNA is filed under the name uncultured bacterium. Its description in RNAcentral is "partial 16S ribosomal RNA". It matches the Rfam family "Bacterial small subunit ribosomal RNA", at positions 30 to 507 of the family's 1533-position model. The record is from RNAcentral.
UGAACGCUGGCGGCGUGCCUAAUACAUGCAAGUCGAGCGAACAGACGCGGAGCUUGCUCCUCUGACGUUAGCGGCGGACGGGUGAGUAACACGUGGAUAACCUACCUAUAAGACUGGGAUAACUUCGGGAAACCGGAGCUAAUACCGGAUAAUAUAUUGAACCGCAUGGUUCAAUAGUGAAAGACGGUUUUGCUGUCACUUAUAGAUGGAUCCGCGCCGCAUUAGCUAGUUGGUAAGGUAACGGCUUACCAAGGCAACGAUGCGUAGCCGACCUGAGAGGGUGAUCGGCCACACUGGAACUGAGACACGGUCCAGACUCCUACGGGAGGCAGCAGUAGGGAAUCUUCCGCAAAGGGCGAAAGCUUGACGGAGCAACGCCGCGUGAGUGAUGAAGGUCUUCGGAUCGUAAAACUCUGUUAUUAGGGAAGAACAAAUGUGUAAGUAACUAUGCACGUCUUGACGGUACCUAAUCAGAAAGCCACGGCUAACUACGUG